GACGAACGCUGGCGGCGUGCUUAACACAUGCAAGUCGAACGGAAAGGCCCUGCUUUUGUGGGGUGCUCGAGUGGCGAACGGGUGAGUAACACGUGAGUAUCCCGCCCUUGACUUUGGGAUAACUUCAGGAAACUGGGGCUAAUAUCGGAUAUGAGCUCUUGCUGCAUGGUGGGGGUUGGAAAGUUUCGGCGUUUGGGGAUGGACUCGCUGCUUAUCCGCUUGUUGGUGGGGUAGUUGCUUACCAAGGGUUCGACGGAUAGCCUGCCUGGGAGGGUGACCGGCCACAUGGGUACUGAGAUAGGGACCAGAAGGGUACGGGAGGCAGCAGUGGAGAAUAUUGCACAGUGAGCGGAAGCGUGAUACAGCAGCGCCGCGUGCGGGAUGACGGCCUUCGGGUUGUAAACCGCUUUCGCCUGUAACGAAGCGUGAGUGACGGUAAUGGGUAAAGAAGCACCGGCUAACUACGUG
This 468-nucleotide ribosomal RNA is filed under the name uncultured bacterium. RNAcentral describes it as "partial 16S ribosomal RNA". It matches the Rfam family "Bacterial small subunit ribosomal RNA", at positions 28 to 507 of the family's 1533-position model. The record is from RNAcentral.